GUACAAUGUCUACACAGCAAUACUUUCACAAUUACUGACUCAAUAAAGCAUAUUUGGUUUAUCAGCAUUCCAAACAUUGCGGUUUGAGUUUGGGUUAUAUUUGACCAACAAUUAAAAAAUAAUGGUAUUAUUCUGUUCAAAAUUUCAGAUAUGUAUUGAUUCUUUAGUGGAACAAUAAAAUGAGUGUAUGCCCUUCUCAAAAAUUCAGUUGUAUUGAUUCAGAUUAAAGAAAAAUGUGACAAGAGUUGCAUCACUUGCUACUUGAAGCUUGAAGGAACUGAUGAGCAUAGAGUCUGGUGAUUUGUUCUGGGAGAAGAAGUCGAAUGCAUCAUUCCCACCAGCACUGAUGAGGAAGAUUGAUUUGGACAGCAAGGUUGACGCUUUGUCGGCGCUCAACAUGGUUGAUAUCUGGUCUCUGAGGUUCAAAAAUUGUUUUGAGAGAAUUUAUGCGUACUGUGGAAUCAAGAAGACCAGAGCCUCCUGAAGCAAAGUUGGCUCCUUUCAUGCCUGAUGAUGCAGCCGCCAUCAUCGUCCUGUUGUUCUUGUUCAUCACUUCUACACUGCUGUUGCUGCUGCUGCUGCUGUUGGCAGCCAUGGCGACGAGAGAGAGUGUCGGGAUUGUGAACCUGAACCAUGUGGCUCACCUAUGAAGUCGACGCCAAUGAGGCCAUUGCUGAACCUUCCCGUCGGCUUGC
Long non-coding RNA from Oryza brachyantha (malo sina), 695 nucleotides. RefSeq lists it as uncharacterized. The record is from RefSeq and is a predicted model, not a curated record. The transcript has 4 exons. Lineage: Eukaryota; Viridiplantae; Streptophyta; Magnoliopsida; Poales; Poaceae.